This 253-nucleotide ribosomal RNA is filed under the name uncultured bacterium. RNAcentral describes it as "partial 16S ribosomal RNA". It matches the Rfam family "Bacterial small subunit ribosomal RNA", at positions 524 to 776 of the family's 1533-position model. The record is from RNAcentral.
UACAGAGGGUGCAAGCGCUAAUCGGAAUUACUGGGCGUAAAGCGUGCGUAGACGGUUACAUAAGUCGGGUGUGAAAGCCCCGGGCUCAACCUGGGAAUUGCAUUCGAGACUGCGUAGCUAGGGUGCGGAAGAGGGAAGCGGAAUUUCCGGUGUAGCGGUGAAAUGCGUAGAUAUCGGAAGGAACACCAGUGGCGAAAGCGGCUUCCUGGUCCAGCACCGACGUUCAGGCACGAAAGCGUGGGGAGCAAACAGG